UACCAGCACCCCGAGUGGUCGGGACGAUUAUUGGGCCUAAAGCAUCCGUAGCCGGUUUUACAAGUCCUCCGUUAAAUCCAGCUGCUUAACAGAUGGGCUGCGGAGGAUACUAUAAGACUAGGAGGCAGGAGAGGCAAGCGGUACUCAGUGGGUAGGGGUAAAAUCCGUUGAUCCAUUGAAGACCACCAGUGGCGAAGGCGGCUCACUGGUCCAUUACUGACGCUGAGGUGCGAAAGCGUGGGGAGCAAACAGG
This 253-nucleotide ribosomal RNA is filed under the name uncultured bacterium. RNAcentral's name for it is "partial 16S ribosomal RNA". It matches the Rfam family "Archaeal small subunit ribosomal RNA", at positions 474 to 727 of the family's 1478-position model. The record is from RNAcentral.